UACAGAGGUCUCAAGCGUUGUUCGGAUUCAUUGGGCGUAAAGAGCUCGUAGGCGGUUUGUCGCGUCUGCCGUGAAAGUCCGGGGCUCAACCGUCCGGAUCUGGCGGUGGGUACGGGCAGACUAGAGUGAUGUAGGGGGAGACUGGAGUUCCUGGUGUAGCGGUGAAAUGCGCAGAUAUCAGGAGGAACACCGAUGGCGAAGGCAGGUCUCUGGGCAUUAACUGACGCUGAGGAGCGAAAGCAUGGGGAGCGAACAGG
RNAcentral lists this ribosomal RNA (257 nucleotides) under uncultured bacterium. Its description in RNAcentral is "partial 16S ribosomal RNA". It matches the Rfam family "Bacterial small subunit ribosomal RNA", at positions 524 to 776 of the family's 1533-position model. The record is from RNAcentral.